Gonium pectorale is the source of this 112-nucleotide small nuclear RNA. It matches the Rfam family "U5 spliceosomal RNA". From Rfam's summary of the family: U5 RNA is a component of both types of known spliceosome. The precise function of this molecule is unknown, though it is known that the 5' loop is required for splice site selection and p220 binding, and that both the 3' stem-loop and the Sm site are important for Sm protein binding and cap methylation. The record is from Rfam. Lineage: Eukaryota; Viridiplantae; Chlorophyta; Chlorophyceae; Chlamydomonadales; Volvocaceae.
AAGCGCUGAGCCGCACACGUCUCUCAUAUCUCUUUCGCCUUUUACUAAAGAGAUCAGCGGUUGCGGCUCACUCAGGCGCAUAUUACAAUCUUUGGGAGGUCUUUUGGCCUUC